GAAAUGCGAUAAGUAGUGUGAAUUGCAGAAUUCAGUGAAUCAUCGAAUCUUUGAACGCACAUUGCGCCCCUUGGUAUUCCAUGGGGCAUGCCUGUUCGAGCGUCAUUUGUACCCUCAAGCUCUGCUUGGUGUUGGGUGUUUGUUCCGCCGCGCGCGCGAACUCGCCUCAAAUGUAUUGGCAGCCGGCAAUCUGGUGUUGGAGCGCAGCACAAUUUGCGCUCUUCGCUGUAUUGCGGCGUCCACAAAGCCCAUAUUUUUUACGCUUGACCUCGGAUCAGGUAGGGAUACCCGCUGAACUUAA
This 301-nucleotide unclassified non-coding RNA is filed under the name uncultured Pyrenochaeta. RNAcentral describes it as "sequence contains ITS1". The stretch from base 1 to 105 matches the Rfam family "5.8S ribosomal RNA", at positions 50 to 154 of the family's 154-position model. The record is from RNAcentral. Lineage: Eukaryota; Fungi; Ascomycota; Dothideomycetes; Pleosporales; Pleosporaceae.